Molecule: ribosomal RNA, 490 nt
Filed under: uncultured bacterium
Lineage: Bacteria
Description: bacterial SSU rRNA
Rfam family: Bacterial small subunit ribosomal RNA
Source: RNAcentral
CUCAGAUUGAACGCUGGCGGCAGGCCUAACACAUGCAAGUCGAGCGGUAGAGAGGUGCUUGCAUCUCUUGAGAGCGGCGGACGGGUGAGUAAUGCCUAGGAAUCUGCCUAGUGGUGGGGGAUAACGUUCGGAAACGGACGCUAAUACCGCAUACGUCCUACGGGAGAAANCGGGGGGAUCUUCGGACCUCGCGCCAUUAGAUGAGCCUAGGUCGGAUUAGCUAGUUGGUGAGGUAAUGGCUCACCAAGGCGACGAUCCGUAACUGGUCUGAGAGGAUGAUCAGUCACACUGGAACUGAGACACGGUCCAGACUCCUACGGGAGGCAGUAGUGGGGAAUAUUGGACAAUGGGCGAAAGCCUGAUCCAGCCAUGCCGCGUGUGUGAAGAAGGUCUUCGGAUUGUAAAGCACUUUAAGUUGGGAGGAAGGGUAGUAACCUAAUACGUUGCUACUUUGACGUUACCGACAGAAUAAGCACCGGCUAACUUCGUG